Molecule: ribosomal RNA, 433 nt
Filed under: uncultured bacterium
Lineage: Bacteria
Description: partial 16S ribosomal RNA
Rfam family: Bacterial small subunit ribosomal RNA
Source: RNAcentral
AACGAACGCUGGCGGCAUGCCUAACACAUGCAAGUCGAACGAGACCUUCGGGUAUAGUGGCGCACGGGUGCGUAACGCGUGGGAACCUGCCCUUAGGUUCGGAAUAACUCCCCGAAAGGGGUGCUAAUACCGGAUAAUGUCUUCGGACCAAAGAUUUAUCGCCUUUGGAUGGGCCCGCGUUGGAUUAGCUAGUUGGUAGGGUAAAAGCCUACCAAGGCGACGAUCCAUAGCUGGUCUGAGAGGAUGAUCAGCCACACUGGGACUGAGACACGGCCCAGACUCCUACGGGAGGCAGCAGUGGGGAAUAUUGGACGAUGGGCGAAAGCCUGAUCCAGCAAUGCCGCGUGAGUGAUGAAGGCCUUAGGGUUGUAAAGCUCUUUUACCCGGGAUGAUAAUGACAGUACCGGGAGAAUAAGCUCCGGCUAACUCCGUG